RNAcentral lists this ribosomal RNA (253 nucleotides) under uncultured bacterium. RNAcentral's name for it is "partial 16S ribosomal RNA". It matches the Rfam family "Bacterial small subunit ribosomal RNA", at positions 524 to 776 of the family's 1533-position model. The record is from RNAcentral.
UACAGAGGGGGCAAGCGUUGUUCGGAAUUACUGGGCGUAAAGGGCGCGUAGGCGGCCCUCUAAGUCAGACGUGAAAUCCCUCGGCUCAACCGGGGGAGGCCGUCGGGGACCUCGCGGCUGGAGGCCGGUAGGGGCGAGCGGAAUUCCCGGUGUAGUGGUGGAAUGCGUAGAGAUCGGGAGGAACACCGGUGGCGGAGGCGGCUCGCUGGGCCGGUCCUGACGCUCGGGCGCGAAGGCCAGGGGAGCAAACGGG